AGGACUUGCAUCAUGGUAGCUUGCUCACUCGCUUCUCCCAUGUAUGCGGUUGAGUUGUACCUUGCAAGAUAAACAAGAGAUGCCUUAGCUUUUCAAUAGGUAAAUAAGAAAGAAAACGAGAAAGAAAAGAUACAAAUUUCCUUUUUUUGUUUUUUUUAUAAAUUCGAAUAGGCAAUAGACACUAAUAAAAGCUGUAGUAGUAAUAGAAUUGGAAAGACUUGGAAAAGGUGAUCGACCGGGAAGGAAACAAUUUGAAAACUCUUUGCAAAAAUGGAAACCGAAUUAUGCAAUCCUAGCAACACGUUUUUAUUUUUUUAUUUUUUUUUUUUUGACUUGAUGAAGAUUAAAACUAAGCAGAACAGGAUGUAACAAUCGGAUGCAAGCAAGAUGUGAAGAAAACAACUAAGUGCAACAAUGAAACGCGAUCUCUUUAUUUGGUUUUAUGAUUUCAUGAAAGCAGAAACAAUGAAUCACAAAUCGGAUGCAAAUAGAAGAGACAAGGAUAGAUAUAACCUGAUGCUGAAGGAACUUCAGCUCUGAUACCAGAAAUGAUACAAGCCUAAGCUAUCAAAGGCUGUACGUCCCCAAGCAAGAGAGAAGGAGCCGAUCUAACACAAGGGUGAUCCGGAUGGACUGAUCUAAUCAACCAAGGGAUCUGAAC
Molecule: long non-coding RNA, 661 nt
Filed under: Brassica rapa (field mustard)
Lineage: Eukaryota; Viridiplantae; Streptophyta; Magnoliopsida; Brassicales; Brassicaceae
Description: long non-coding RNA (BRAP_LNC008942)
Source: RNAcentral